UUACUUCAACUUACAUUUUCUGUUAAUGUUGGUAAGGAUUUAGUAAAGUAACAAGAAUACACAUUAUCUAAAGAGGCAAUUUUAAAGAAAAAUUAAUAAAGCGUCCUUAAAAUUGAAACUUAUCAGUGUUGGUUGGGCCAGGCAGUCACAGUUUAGAACUUGCUGUUCAAAAGGCAGGAGUGAUGCCAGAAAGAGCUACCCUCCCGUGCUCCGAACAAGCCUGCCAUAGUCAGUUCUGUACAGUGACAGGCAACAUCGCGGGGAGGAAGGAUCUCGCCAGUCGACACCAAUGGGGCUGCUCUACGGGCUCCCCUAUUCUCAGGCCCACAGAUCUCAGGAAGCCUCUGCAGUCAGAGGAUAUGGGUGGAGAGGGGAAACUGAGACCCAGAGACGGGAAGUGCUUGCCCAGAGACAUUCAGCUUGUCAGUAGUGGAUCUGGGACUAGAACCCAGCGCUGCCUGUUGCUAGCUUUGAGGUCUUUCUACAAGGAGGAGGGCUUCCCUAAAUCCCAGUAAGUCCAUCUUUCCCUAUAGUUGGCUAAAACUGAGCACAAUGCACUCUCUCACUUUAUUCCUACAAUACCCAGAGAAGUAGGCAGCAGAGGCACAGUUAGCCAUUUCCAGUUGGAGAAAAUGAGACACAGGCACCUUAGGCCUUUCUCGCAGGGCCCCACCAGUUCCCAGAGGUCAGGCUGGUGCUCAGGACCACUGUGCAUAAAACGCGGGUGGCCCCCGAGACCCCCAACCCUCCAGGUCCCGUCUGGCUCACAUCGUUGCUGAUGGUGGAGUCUCGGUGGAUGAGGCGCUGCACGUGGCUGUCGAUGCUGCUGCCUGAGGAGAACUUGGUGCGUGUGGCUGGGUGGGCCUCCCGCUCCCGCUGCCUCACCACCACCUCGCAGGCCUUCCACUCUGCCAACACCUGCUGGUACCUUGCUGCCACCACUGCGUCCACCUGUACUCAGACCACACCACGACCAUGGGGGAAGCGUGCACCAGGCCCUCCCCUUCAGGAGCUGGGCCUGCACUGGACCUUGGGUCCUGAGUCUCAGACUCAAGACGGGCCUCAGGGUAAGGACGGUGGAGCUGCCCUGCCAUGCUUCUUUCCGGCUGGGAAGGGGCUGAGGCUUCCAAGGUCCCCUCCCUGGCGUCCCCUGGCCCAGCUCCCCAUCUCAUCAGCCCCAUGGGAACAGGCUCCCCUCACCUGCUCCAUCUCCUUCUUGCUCAUGCCGAACUUGUAGUGGCCAAGCAGAAAGGGCCAGACGUCCUUGCGGAUCUCGUGCUCUAUGCCUCCGUAGUAAACUUGCCGCAGCAGCUCCAGCUCUUUGUAGUUCUGAGGGACCCGGGGAGUCAAGACUGUGCAGCCUCCACAGUCACCGUGGCCCAGCUGGGUGAGCCCCAUCCCACGGAGAAUGGGCUGGGGCGGGGCCUGUAGUGACUGCUGAAGCCCAGGCAAGGCCUGCUUUGGGGUGGCCACGUCCUCCCGUGCCCCAGCUCACAGUGGGAUGAGAUCUCGUUCUGCUCUCCUUCCUUAAGGGGCAGGAAAUGGCGCCCGGAGAGAGGCAAAGCUUUGUCCAGGGUCACAGGGCGAUGUGGAGGCAGGACGGCUUCCCAGUCCAGCCCCCUUCCCGUGUCAGCCCCAGGCCCAGCUGCAAGAGAUUCUGCCGGGACCCUGGUCACUCCGUGGCAUCGGCCCUGGCCUGUCAACCGCACCCACUGGCACAUUUUACCCUGAAGCCCUCACUCCUGCCCGCCCCAGCCCCUCGACCUGUGGCCCUGGAACCCCAGGGUUGGCACCUUUUUGUCCUUCUGAUACUUGCUCCACACGUCCUUGGUGAGGCCCGCGGAGGCCCCCGGGGGCCGGUCAGGUGGGAUAACGCUAUGGUGCACCAGCGCCGACAGGUGGGUCCGCACCGUGGACAGGUGGCGGCAGUGUGCCAGCCCUGCGGUGGGCAGCGGUGGGCAGCAGGAGGCUGGGACCCAGGGCCGCCCGCCCCCAGCCCGCCACAGCCCGGCGCGCCCCACACUCACAGCCGUAGAAGGCCCGGGACACGAUCUGCCUCUUCAUACUCUCACACAGUAGCCUGAGCGGCAACCUGUGGCAACAACCGGGCUCAGCAGGGAGGGGCUGCGGCCCCUCUGGUGGGAGGAGAGAGAGAAGGGAGGAGGCUCUGUCCUGGGGGGCAGGUAAGGCACUGGGGAGGGUGCGAGGAGGAGGAGCCGCAGCCCAGCAGCCGUCAGUGGGUGCCCUGUCCCUGCCUGCCACCUGGACAGAGUGCUGUGGGGCCCCCGCCUGGCCCCCAACCACCCAGGGAUCUUGGUCAACGAACUUCACCUACAUGAAUCUUCGUUUCCUCAUGUGAAAAAUGGAGAGAGGCAGCGGAGGAUCAUCAGGAUUAAUAAACGGAAGACGAAGUAAAGGU
RNAcentral lists this long non-coding RNA (2419 nucleotides) under Homo sapiens (human). RNAcentral's name for it is "non-protein coding lnc-MNT-2:1". Lineage: Eukaryota; Metazoa; Chordata; Mammalia; Primates; Hominidae. The record is from RNAcentral.